Molecule: ribosomal RNA, 494 nt
Filed under: uncultured bacterium
Lineage: Bacteria
Description: partial 16S ribosomal RNA
Rfam family: Bacterial small subunit ribosomal RNA
Source: RNAcentral
GACGAACGCUGGCGGCGUGCUUAACACAUGCAAGUCGAACGGUGAAGCGCCUUCCUUUUUGGUGGGUGUGGAUGAGUGGCGAACGGGUGAGUAACACGUGAGUAACCUGCCCCCUUCUUCUGGAUAACCGCAUGAAAGUGUGGCUAAUACGGGAUAUUCUGGGUCUGUCGCAUGAUGGGUCUGAGAAAGAUAUUGUUUCGGUGGGGGAUGGGCUCGCGGCCUAUCAGCUUGUCGGUGGGGUGAUGGCCUACCAAGGCGGUGACGGGUAGCCGGCCUGAGAGGGUGGACGGUCACACUGGGACUGAGACACGGCCCAGACUCCUACGGGAGGCAGCAGUGGGGAAUAGUGCACAAUGGGCGCAAGCCUGAUGCAGCGACGCCGCGUGAGGGAUGGAGGCCUUCGGGUUGUGAACCUCUUUCGCCAGUGAAGCAGGCCUGCCUCGUUUGUGGGUGGGUUGACGGUAGCUGGAUAAGAAGCGCCGGCUAACUACGUG